GUCCUUAUAGUAUAACAAUUACUCUGACCUUGUAAGCCAGAAAUGGGUAGAAAUACCCUAAGGACA
This 66-nucleotide transfer RNA is filed under the name Idiurus macrotis (long-eared scaly-tailed flying squirrel). RNAcentral's name for it is "tRNA-Thr". Lineage: Eukaryota; Metazoa; Chordata; Mammalia; Rodentia; Anomaluridae. The record is from RNAcentral.